CCUACGGGAGGCAGCAGUGGGGAAUCUUGGACAAUGGGCGCAAGCCUGAUCCAGCAAUGCCGCGUGCGUGAAGAAGGCCUUCGGGUUGUAAAGCGCUUUUGUCGGGGAGCAAAAGCUCAGUGCGAAUAACACUGGGUCUUGAGAGUACCCGAAGAAUAAGGACCGGCUAACUACGUGCCAGCAGCCGCGGUAAUACGUAGGGUCCAAGCGUUAAUCGGAAUUACUGGGCGUAAAGCGUGCGCAGGUGGCCUGCUAAGCGCGAUGUGAAAUCCCCGAGCUCAACUUGGGAAUUGCAUUGCGAACUGGCAGGCUAGAGUAUGGCAGAGGGGGGUGAAUUCCGCGUGUAGCAGUGAAAUGCGUAGAGAUGCGGAGGAACACCGAUGGCGAAGGCAACCCCCUGGGCUAAUACUGACACUCAUGCACGAAAGCGUAGGGGAGCAAACAGGACUUAGAUACCCUGGUACGUCCACGCCCUAAACGAUGUCAACUAGUUGUUGGGCUCUUCGGAGCUUAGUAACGCAGCUAACGCGUGAAGUUGACCGCCUGGGGAGUACGGUCGCAAGCUAAAACGUCAAAGAGAGUAGAGACGUUGAGACGNGCCGAGGACGACGACGAGGGAGGAGG
Molecule: ribosomal RNA, 624 nt
Filed under: uncultured bacterium
Lineage: Bacteria
Description: bacterial SSU rRNA
Rfam family: Bacterial small subunit ribosomal RNA
Source: RNAcentral